AUUGAACGCUGGCGGCAGGCCUAACACAUGCGAGUCGAACGGUAACAGAAAGCAGCUUGCUGCUUUGCUGACGAGUGGCGGACGGGUGAGUAAUGUCUGGGAAACUGCCUGAUGGAGGGGGAUAACUACUGGAAACGGUAGCUAAUGCCGCAUAACGUCGCAAGACCAAAGAGGGGGACCUUCGGGCCUCUUGCCAUCGGAUGUGCCCAGAUGGGAUUAGCUAGUAGGUGGGGUAACGGCUCACCUAGGCGACGAUCCCUAGCUGGUCUGAGAGGAUGACCAGCCACACUGGAACUGAGACACGGUCCAGACUCCUACGGGAGGCAGCAGUGGGGAAUAUUGCACAAUGGGCGCAAGCCUGAUGCAGCCAUGCCGCGUGUAUGAAGAAGGCCUUCGGGUUGUAAAGUACUUUCAGCGGGGAGGAAGGGAGUAAAGUUAAUACCUUUGCUCAUUGACGUUACCCGCAGAAGAAGCACCGGCUAACUCCGUG
This 490-nucleotide ribosomal RNA is filed under the name uncultured bacterium. RNAcentral describes it as "partial 16S ribosomal RNA". It matches the Rfam family "Bacterial small subunit ribosomal RNA", at positions 30 to 507 of the family's 1533-position model. The record is from RNAcentral.